This 2528-nucleotide ribosomal RNA is filed under the name Staphylococcus aureus. RNAcentral's name for it is "partial 23S ribosomal RNA". It matches the Rfam family "Bacterial large subunit ribosomal RNA", at positions 1 to 2526 of the family's 2925-position model. Lineage: Bacteria; Bacillati; Bacillota; Bacilli; Caryophanales; Staphylococcaceae. The record is from RNAcentral.
AGAUUAAGUUAUUAAGGGCGCACGGUGGAUGCCUUGGCACUAGAAGCCGAUGAAGGACGUUACUAACGACGAUAUGCUUUGGGGAGCUGUAAGUAAGCUUUGAUCCAGAGAUUUCCGAAUGGGGAAACCCAGCAUGAGUUAUGUCAUGUUAUCGAUAUGUGAAUACAUAGCAUAUCAGAAGGCACACCCGGAGAACUGAAACAUCUUAGUACCCGGAGGAAGAGAAAGAAAAUUCGAUUCCCUUAGUAGCGGCGAGCGAAACGGGAAGAGCCCAAACCAACAAGCUUGCUUGUUGGGGUUGUAGGACACUCUAUACGGAGUUACAAAGGACGACAUUAGACGAAUCAUCUGGAAAGAUGAAUCAAAGAAGGUAAUAAUCCUGUAGUCGAAAAUGUUGUCUCUCUUGAGUGGAUCCUGAGUACGACGGAGCACGUGAAAUUCCGUCGGAAUCUGGGAGGACCAUCUCCUAAGGCUAAAUACUCUCUAGUGACCGAUAGUGAACCAGUACCGUGAGGGAAAGGUGAAAAGCACCCCGGAAGGGGAGUGAAAUAGAACCUGAAACCGUGUGCUUACAAGUAGUCAGAGCCCGUUAAUGGGUGAUGGCGUGCCUUUUGUAGAAUGAACCGGCGAGUUACGAUUUGAUGCAAGGUUAAGCAGUAAAUGUGGAGCCGUAGCGAAAGCGAGUCUGAAUAGGGCGUUUAGUAUUUGGUCGUAGACCCGAAACCAGGUGAUCUACCCUUGGUCAGGUUGAAGUUCAGGUAACACUGAAUGGAGGACCGAACCGACUUACGUUGAAAAGUGAGCGGAUGAACUGAGGGUAGCGGAGAAAUUCCAAUCGAACCUGGAGAUAGCUGGUUCUCUCCGAAAUAGCUUUAGGGCUAGCCUCAAGUGAUGAUUAUUGGAGGUAGAGCACUGUUUGGACGAGGGGCCCCUCUCGGGUUACCGAAUUCAGACAAACUCCGAAUGCCAAUUAAUUUAACUUGGGAGUCAGAACAUGGGUGAUAAGGUCCGUGUUCGAAAGGGAAACAGCCCAGACCACCAGCUAAGGUCCCAAAAUAUAUGUUAAGUGGAAAAGGAUGUGGCGUUGCCCAGACAACUAGGAUGUUGGCUUAGAAGCAGCCAUCAUUUAAAGAGUGCGUAAUAGCUCACUAGUCGAGUGACACUGCGCCGAAAAUGUACCGGGGCUAAACAUAUUACCGAAGCUGUGGAUUGUCCUUUGGACAAUGGUAGGAGAGCGUUCUAAGGGCGUUGAAGCAUGAUCGUAAGGACAUGUGGAGCGCUUAGAAGUGAGAAUGCCGGUGUGAGUAGCGAAAGACGGGUGAGAAUCCCGUCCACCGAUUGACUAAGGUUUCCAGAGGAAGGCUCGUCCGCUCUGGGUUAGUCGGGUCCUAAGCUGAGGCCGACAGGCGUAGGCGAUGGAUAACAGGUUGAUAUUCCUGUACCACCUAUAAUCGUUUUAAUCGAUGGGGGGACGCAGUAGGAUAGGCGAAGCGUGCGAUUGGAUUGCACGUCUAAGCAGUAAGGCUGAGUAUUAGGCAAAUCCGGUACUCGUUAAGGCUGAGCUGUGAUGGGGAGAAGACAUUGAGUCUUCGAGUCGUUGAUUUCACACUGCCGAGAAAAGCCUCUAGAUAGAAAAUAGGUGCCCGUACCGCAAACCGACACAGGUAGUCAAGAUGAGAAUUCUAAGGUGAGCGAGCGAACUCUCGUUAAGGAACUCGGCAAAAUGACCCCGUAACUUCGGGAGAAGGGGUGCUCUUUAGGGUUAACGCCCAGAAGAGCCGCAGUGAAUAGGCCCAAGCGACUGUUUAUCAAAAACACAGGUCUCUGCUAAACCGUAAGGUGAUGUAUAGGGGCUGACGCCUGCCCGGUGCUGGAAGGUUAAGAGGAGUGGUUAGCUUCUGCGAAGCUACGAAUCGAAGCCCCAGUAAACGGCGGCCGUAACUAUAACGGUCCUAAGGUAGCGAAAUUCCUUGUCGGGUAAGUUCCGACCCGCACGAAAGGCGUAACGAUUUGGGCACUGUCUCAACGAGAGACUCGGUGAAAUCAUAGUACCUGUGAAGAUGCAGGUUACCCGCGACAGGACGGAAAGACCCCGUGGAGCUUUACUGUAGCCUGAUAUUGAAAUUCGGCACAGCUUGUACAGGAUAGGUAGGAGCCUUUGAAACGUGAGCGCUAGCUUACGUGGAGGCGCUGGUGGGAUACUACCCUAGCUGUGUUGGCUUUCUAACCCGCACCACUUAUCGUGGUGGGAGACAGUGUCAGGCGGGCAGUUUGACUGGGGCGGUCGCCUCCUAAAAGGUAACGGAGGCGCUCAAAGGUUCCCUCAGAAUGGUUGGAAAUCAUUCAUAGAGUGUAAAGGCAUAAGGGAGCUUGACUGCGAGACCUACAAGUCGAGCAGGGUCGAAAGACGGACUUAGUGAUCCGGUGGUUCCGCAUGGAAGGGCCAUCGCUCAACGGAUAAAAGCUACCCCGGGGAUAACAGGCUUAUCUCCCCCAAGAGUUCACAUCGACGGGGAGGUUUGGCACCU